AGGGAAACAACCCAGACCGCCAGCUAAGGUCCCAAAGUCAUGGUUAAGUGGGAAACGAUGUGGGAAGGCCCAGACAGCCAGGAUGUUGGCUUAGAAGCAGCCAUCAUUUAAAGAAAGCGUAAUAGCUCACUGGUCGAGUCGGCCUGCGCGGAAGAUGUAACGGGGCUAAACCAUGCACCGAAGCUGCGGCAGCGACACUGAUGUGUUGUUGGGUAGGGGAGCGUUCUGUAAGCCGUUGAAGGUGGCCUGUGAGGGUUGCUGGAGGUAUCAGAAGUGCGAAUGCUGACAUAAGUAACGAUAAAGCGGGUGAAAAGCCCGCUCGCCGGAAGACCAAGGGUUCCUGUCCAACGUUAAUCGGGGCAGGGUGAGUCGACCCCUAAGGCGAGGCCGAAAGGCGUAGUCGAUGGGAAACGGGUUAAUAUUCCCGUACUUGGUGUUACUGCGAAGGGGGGACGGAGAAGGCUAUGUUGGCCGGGCGACGGUUGUCCCGGUUUAAGCGUGUAGGUGUGUGUUCCAGGUAAAUCCGGUUCACUUUAACAC
This 540-nucleotide ribosomal RNA is filed under the name Salmonella enterica. RNAcentral's name for it is "partial 23S ribosomal RNA". It matches the Rfam family "Bacterial large subunit ribosomal RNA", at positions 1016 to 1556 of the family's 2925-position model. Lineage: Bacteria; Pseudomonadati; Pseudomonadota; Gammaproteobacteria; Enterobacterales; Enterobacteriaceae. The record is from RNAcentral.